RNAcentral lists this ribosomal RNA (119 nucleotides) under Aegilops tauschii subsp. strangulata. The record is from RNAcentral. Lineage: Eukaryota; Viridiplantae; Streptophyta; Magnoliopsida; Poales; Poaceae.
GGAUGCGAUCAUACCAGCACUAAAGCACCGGAUCCCAUCAGAACUCCGAAGUUAAGCGUGCUUGGGUGAGAGUAGUACUAGGAUGGGUGACCUCCUGUAAAAUCCUCCUGUUGCAUUCC